Non-coding RNA from Pelobates cultripes (western spadefoot toad), 470 nucleotides. Lineage: Eukaryota; Metazoa; Chordata; Amphibia; Anura; Pelobatidae. The record is from the annotation of a GenBank genome assembly.
CCAAAACAGAACCCUCACAACCAGUACAUCUCCAACAAGCUCACACCCUCAGAUGCCCACUGUCUAAAAAGUGCCCUGAUUCCUUAUACAGUGUCCAAUUGCCACCUGGUUAAAGUUUUGACCAGCGAUGACUAAGUUUGAACUGGUUUUUAGUGCCAUACAGCUUGCUAGGACUUCCAUGUCUCAACCUGGUCUCUAGGUUACUACUGAAAUUAGGUGGCUGAUAUCCUGGGAACUCAGGUAAGGUUCAUCUGCUGGGUAAGGUUGGAAGACAUCAGAGAUGGUGACAAUAGUUCUUUCAUGGUGUUUUGUGACCGUGUCUAUAGUCAGUAAGGAGGAGACUUGCUUCUCCAUAAGCCCCAGUAAUGCAUCAACACAUUUUUUCGUAAUUCAACAAAGCAUUCUAGCUGGACUGCACGCAGGACUGCAAGAGUGAACUUUGUGGAGUAAUUAAUACGUUUAAUGCAUAU